This 509-nucleotide long non-coding RNA is filed under the name Homo sapiens (human). RNAcentral describes it as "non-protein coding lnc-UQCRFS1-6:1". Lineage: Eukaryota; Metazoa; Chordata; Mammalia; Primates; Hominidae. The record is from RNAcentral.
GAAGGCAGGACAUGUGGUUGAGUGACUGGAGAAGGGAGCAGAUAAUGGCAAGACUUCAUUCUUUGUCCACAAACAGAAGAGUGUGGAUCGCAAACUAAUCAGCAGGCAGACCAACAAGCUAAAAUUUCUACUAUUACUGCCGACUCAGACCUGGAAGAAGUAGAUUGGGCUGCAAUCACACAAUGGGUGCAUCACCAGUGCGGACACCUAGGCGUACAGGGAACCAUGGCUUGGGGAGUGUAAAGAAGGAUGUUACCCCAGGAUGCAGUUCAGACAAUUUUAUCCCAAUGCACUACAUGCCAACAGUUAAAAACCAAGCCAAUUCCUCAAAGGGCUAUGGGGCACAUUCACCGGGGAAAAAUGCCAGGACAAAUUUGUCAAAUGGACUAUAUUUGUCCCUUGCCACUUUCUAAAGGGUGCCAAUAUAUAUGUACUGCUGUAGACACCUACUUAGGGCUCCUAGUAGCCUGUGCUUAUGCUAAUGCUAACCAAAUUAACACUAUUAAAAC